RNAcentral lists this transfer RNA (73 nucleotides) under Bythites fuscus (Arctic brotula). RNAcentral describes it as "tRNA-Leu (UUR)". It matches the Rfam family "tRNA". From Rfam's summary of the family: Transfer RNA (tRNA) molecules are approximately 80 nucleotides in length. Their secondary structure includes four short double-helical elements and three loops (D, anti-codon, and T loops). The record is from RNAcentral. Lineage: Eukaryota; Metazoa; Chordata; Actinopteri; Ophidiiformes; Bythitidae.
GUUAGCGUGGCAGAGUCCGGCUAUUGCAAAAGACCUAAACCCUUUACAUGGGGUUCAAAUCCCCCCCCUAACU